UACGAAGGGGGCUAGCGCUGCUCGGAAUCACUGGGCGUAAAGGGCACGUAGGCGGGUUUUUAAGUCAGGGGUGAAAUCCUGGAGCUCAACUCCAGAACUGCCUUUGAUACUGGCGAUCUUGAGUUCGGGAGAGGUGAGUGGAACUGCGAGUGUAGAGGUGAAAUUCGUAGAUAUUCGCAAGAACACCAGUGGCGAAGGCGGCUCACUGGCCCGAUACUGACGCUGAGGCACGAAAGCGUGGGGAGCAAACAGG
Molecule: ribosomal RNA, 253 nt
Filed under: uncultured bacterium
Lineage: Bacteria
Description: partial 16S ribosomal RNA
Rfam family: Bacterial small subunit ribosomal RNA
Source: RNAcentral